GACGUAGGGGGCAAGCGUUGUCCGGAAUCAUUGGGCGUAAAGCGCUCGUAGGUGGAUCGGUAAGUCUGCAAAGAAAGACCCGGGCUCAACUCGGGGAACGGUGUGGAUACUACCGAUCUUGAGGCAAUCAGAGGAUGAUGGAAUUCCCGGUGUAGCGGUGAAAUGCGCAGAUAUCAGGAGGAACACCGGUGGCGAAGGCGGGUCUCUGGGCAAUAACUGACGCUGAGGAGCGAAAGCGUGGGGAGCGAACAGG
This 253-nucleotide ribosomal RNA is filed under the name uncultured bacterium. Its description in RNAcentral is "partial 16S ribosomal RNA". It matches the Rfam family "Bacterial small subunit ribosomal RNA", at positions 524 to 776 of the family's 1533-position model. The record is from RNAcentral.